CAUGCAGUCGAGCGGAUGAAGGAGCUUGCUCCUGGAUUCAGCGGCGGACGGGUGACUAUUGCCUAGGAAUCUGCCUGGUAGUGGGGGACAACGUUUCGAAAGGAACGCUAAUACCGCAUACGUCCUACGGGAGAAAGCAGGGGACCUUCGGGCCUUGCGCUAUCAGAUGAGCCUAGGUCGGAUUAGCUAGUUGGUGAGGUAAUGGCUCACCAAGGCGACGAUCCGUAACUGGUCUGAGAGGAUGAUCAGUCACACUGGAACUGAGACACGGUCCAGACUCCUACGGGAGGCAGCAGUGGGGAAUAUUGGACAAUGGGCGAAAGCCUGAUCCAGCCAUGCCGCGUGUGUGAAGAAGGUCUUCGGAUUGUAAAGCACUUUAAGUUGGGAGGAAGGGCAGUAAAUUAAUACUUUGCUGUUUUGACGUUACCGACAGAAUAAGCACCGGCUAACUCUGUGCCAGCAGCCGCGGUAAUACAGAGGGUGCAAGCGUUAAUCGGAAUUACUGGGCGUAAAGCGCGCGUAGGUGGUUCGUUAAGUUGAAUGUGAAAUCCCCGGGCUCAACCUGGGAACUGCAUCCAAAACUGGCGAGCUAGAGUAUGGUAGAGGGUGGUGGAAUUUCCUGUGUAGCGGUGAAAUGCGUAG
Molecule: ribosomal RNA, 642 nt
Filed under: Pseudomonas sp.
Lineage: Bacteria; Pseudomonadati; Pseudomonadota; Gammaproteobacteria; Pseudomonadales; Pseudomonadaceae
Description: bacterial SSU rRNA
Rfam family: Bacterial small subunit ribosomal RNA
Source: RNAcentral